This 216-nucleotide long non-coding RNA is filed under the name Elaeis guineensis (African oil palm). RNAcentral's name for it is "long non-coding RNA (EGUI_LNC000052)". Lineage: Eukaryota; Viridiplantae; Streptophyta; Magnoliopsida; Arecales; Arecaceae. The record is from RNAcentral.
GAAUGAUGACCGUUAAUUACAAACUUAAUUUGCACCUGUUGGGGGAUAUCCACCGACCGACCGACUGGCGGUCCGACCGACUGGCGGCCCGACCGACGGACUGGCGGCCCGACCGACUGGCCGACCGACCGACCGAUCGUCGGUCGGGGCGACCGACUGACGGAUGCCAUCAGCGGCUAACAACCGGCCAUUCAACGGUCCAUCGCCGACUGGGGA